This 1526-nucleotide ribosomal RNA is filed under the name Citrobacter freundii. RNAcentral describes it as "partial 23S ribosomal RNA". It matches the Rfam family "Bacterial large subunit ribosomal RNA", at positions 711 to 2215 of the family's 2925-position model. Lineage: Bacteria; Pseudomonadati; Pseudomonadota; Gammaproteobacteria; Enterobacterales; Enterobacteriaceae. The record is from RNAcentral.
AGACCCGAAACCCGGUGAUCUAGCCAUGGGCAGGUUGAAGGUUGGGUAACACUAACUGGAGGACCGAACCGACUAAUGUUGAAAAAUUAGCGGAUGACUUGUGGCUGGGGGUGAAAGGCCAAUCAAACCGGGAGAUAGCUGGUUCUCCCCGAAAGCUAUUUAGGUAGCGCCUCGUGAACUCAUCUUCGGGGGUAGAGCACUGUUUCGGCUAGGGGGUCAUCCCGACUUACCAACCCGAUGCAAACUGCGAAUACCGAAGAAUGUUAUCACGGGAGACACACGGCGGGUGCUAACGUCCGUCGUGAAGAGGGAAACAACCCAGACCGCCAGCUAAGGUCCCAAAGUCAUGGUUAAGUGGGAAACGAUGUGGGAAGGCACAGACAGCCAGGAUGUUGGCUUAGAAGCAGCCAUCAUUUAAAGAAAGCGUAAUAGCUCACUGGUCGAGUCGGCCUGCGCGGAAGAUGUAACGGGGCUAAACCAUGCACCGAAGCUGCGGCAGCGACACUAUGUGUUGUUGGGUAGGGGAGCGUUCUGUAAGCCGUUGAAGGUGUACUGUGAGGUAUGCUGGAGGUAUCAGAAGUGCGAAUGCUGACAUAAGUAACGAUAAUGCGGGUGAAAAACCCGCACGCCGGAAGACCAAGGGUUCCUGUCCAACGUUAAUCGGGGCAGGGUGAGUCGACCCCUAAGGCGAGGCCGAAAGGCGUAGUCGAUGGGAAACAGGUUAAUAUUCCUGUACUUGGUGUUACUGCGAAGGGGGGACGGAGAAGGCUAUGUUAGCCGGGCGACGGUUGUCCCGGUUUAAGCAUGUAGGCGGAGGUUCCAGGUAAAUCCGGUACCUUUUUAACGCUGAGGUGUGAUGACGAGGCACUACGGUGCUGAAGUAACAAAUGCCCUGCUUCCAGGAAAAGCCUCUAAGCAUCAGGUAACACGAAAUCGUACCCCAAACCGACACAGGUGGUCAGGUAGAGAAUACCAAGGCGCUUGAGAGAACUCGGGUGAAGGAACUAGGCAAAAUGGUGCCGUAACUUCGGGAGAAGGCACGCUGAUAUGUAGGUGAAGUGAUUUACUCAUGGAGCUGAAAUCAGUCGAAGAUACCAGCUGGCUGCAACUGUUUAUUAAAAACACAGCACUGUGCAAACACGAAAGUGGACGUAUACGGUGUGACGCCUGCCCGGUGCCGGAAGGUUAAUUGAUGGGGUUAUCCGUAAGGAGAAGCUCUUGAUCGAAGCCCCGGUAAACGGCGGCCGUAACUAUAACGGUCCUAAGGUAGCGAAAUUCCUUGUCGGGUAAGUUCCGACCUGCACGAAUGGCGUAAUGAUGGCCAGGCUGUCUCCACCCGAGACUCAGUGAAAUUGAACUCGCUGUGAAGAUGCAGUGUACCCGCGGCAAGACGGAAAGACCCCGUGAACCUUUACUAUAGCUUGACACUGAACACUGGUCCUUGAUGUGUAGGAUAGGUGGGAGGCUUUGAAGUGUGGACGCCAGUCUGCAUGGAGCCAUCCUUGAAAUACCACCCUUUAAUGGCU